AUUUCACACACAAAAAGGCACCCAAAAACAAGAACAACAGCCCUCCCCUUCACCAAAAAAUCGACCAUUAACCCAAUUCCUCCAACCUUCAGCCGUCAUCAUUUUAUGUAUUCAACCCCACACCACGAAAAGAAAAACACAUACACACACAAAAAAAAAAUAAAAUCAAAGACAAACAAAAAAUAGAGGAGAAUCGGAUGAAAAAGCAUCAUUGUUUUGGAGUGUUAACCUUGUAGUUUAAAUUUCGGAAAAAAUCAGAAAAAAUACAAAAACAUUAGUUCUCUUUCUCCUCAAGUUUUUAGCUUUUUAAACAUGGAGAUUAUUUGAGGUUUGAAUCUGAGUCGAGGUGUCGUUCAAGGUGUGUUCGCGGUUCCGUUCGAUUUCUGCGGCAAUUUUAUCGUUUAGAGUUGGCCAUUGAAUUUGUACUUACUGUCUCUUCUGAUUUUGUUAAACUAAUUUCUUCCUCAACAUGUUCAUUCUGUUAUCUCC
RNAcentral lists this long non-coding RNA (489 nucleotides) under Nicotiana benthamiana. RNAcentral's name for it is "long non-coding RNA (NBEN_LNC026509)". Lineage: Eukaryota; Viridiplantae; Streptophyta; Magnoliopsida; Solanales; Solanaceae. The record is from RNAcentral.